RNAcentral lists this ribosomal RNA (1260 nucleotides) under Lactiplantibacillus plantarum. RNAcentral describes it as "bacterial SSU rRNA". It matches the Rfam family "Bacterial small subunit ribosomal RNA", at positions 104 to 1351 of the family's 1533-position model. The record is from RNAcentral. Lineage: Bacteria; Bacillati; Bacillota; Bacilli; Lactobacillales; Lactobacillaceae.
UGGUGAGUAACACGUGGGAAACCUGCCCAGAAGCGGGGGAUAACACCUGGAAACAGAUGCUAAUACCGCAUAACAACUUGGACCGCAUGGUCCGAGUUUGAAAGAUGGCUUCGGCUAUCACUUUUGGAUGGUCCCGCGGCGUAUUAGCUAGAUGGUGGGGUAACGGCUCACCAUGGCGAUGAUACGUAGCCGACCUGAGAGGGUAAUCGGCCACAUUGGGACUGAGACACGGCCCAAACUCCUACGGGAGGCAGCAGUAGGGAAUCUUCCACAAUGGACGAAAGUCUGAUGGAGCAACGCCGCGUGAGUGAAGAAGGGUUUCGGCUCGUAAAACUCUGUUGUUAAAGAAGAACAUAUCUGAGAGUAACUGUUCAGGUAUUGACGGUAUUUAACCAGAAAGCCACGGCUAACUACGUGCCAGCAGCCGCGGUAAUACGUAGGUGGCAAGCGUUGUCCGGAUUUAUUGGGCGUAAAGCGAGCGCAGGCGGUUUUUUAAGUCUGAUGUGAAAGCCUUCGGCUCAACCGAAGAAGUGCAUCGGAAACUGGGAAACUUGAGUGCAGAAGAGGACAGUGGAACUCCAUGUGUAGCGGUGAAAUGCGUAGAUAUAUGGAAGAACACCAGUGGCGAAGGCGGCUGUCUGGUCUGUAACUGACGCUGAGGCUCGAAAGUAUGGGUAGCAAACAGGAUUAGAUACCCUGGUAGUCCAUACCGUAAACGAUGAAUGCUAAGUGUUGGAGGGUUUCCGCCCUUCAGUGCUGCAGCUAACGCAUUAAGCAUUCCGCCUGGGGAGUACGGCCGCAAGGCUGAAACUCAAAGGAAUUGACGGGGGCCCGCACAAGCGGUGGAGCAUGUGGUUUAAUUCGAAGCUACGCGAAGAACCUUACCAGGUCUUGACAUACUAUGCAAAUCUAAGAGAUUAGACGUUCCCUUCGGGGACAUGGAUACAGGUGGUGCAUGGUUGUCGUCAGCUCGUGUCGUGAGAUGUUGGGUUAAGUCCCGCAACGAGCGCAACCCUUAUUAUCAGUUGCCAGCAUUAAGUUGGGCACUCUGGUGAGACUGCCGGUGACAAACCGGAGGAAGGUGGGGAUGACGUCAAAUCAUCAUGCCCCUUAUGACCUGGGCUACACACGUGCUACAAUGGAUGGUACAACGAGUUGCGAACUCGCGAGAGUAAGCUAAUCUCUUAAAGCCAUUCUCAGUUCGGAUUGUAGGCUGCAACUCGCCUACAUGAAGUCGGAAUCGCUAGUAAUCGCGGAUCA